Molecule: small RNA, 68 nt
Filed under: Salix viminalis (osier)
Lineage: Eukaryota; Viridiplantae; Streptophyta; Magnoliopsida; Malpighiales; Salicaceae
Source: RNAcentral
GUUGCUGAUGAUGAUUUAGAUAGAGGUCUUGUACUGAUACUCUUGAGAAAGCACAAUCUCGUAGCAGU